Molecule: ribosomal RNA, 1717 nt
Filed under: human gut metagenome
Description: bacterial LSU rRNA
Rfam family: Bacterial large subunit ribosomal RNA
Source: RNAcentral
GGGGAACCGCCUGAACUGAAACAUCUAAGUAGGGCGAGGAAGAGACAUCAAACGAGAUUCCGUAAGUAGUGGCGAGCGAACGCGGAAGAGGGCAAACCGAAGGUAGAAAUACCUUCGGGGUACGGACUGCUUUUAGGACUCGAUCUGUUAACCGAACGGCAUGGGAAGGCCGGUCAGAGAGUGUGAGAACCACGUAGGUGAAAACGGAAAGAGCUGCGCAGAUUCCAGAGUACGGCCAGACACGUGAAACCUGGUCGGAAGAUGGGGGGACCACCCUCCAACCCUAAAUACUACCCAGUGACCGAUAGCGUAUAGUACUGUGAAGGAAAGGUGAAAAGCACCCCGGGAGGGGAGUGAAAAAGAACCUGAAACCCUGUGCCUACAAGCACCUAGAGCACGUCAAUGUGUGAUAGGGUACUUUUUGUAGAACGGUCCGGCGAGCGAUUGUAUGCAGCAAGGUUAAGGACUUAAGGUCUGGAGCCGAAGCGAAAGCGAGUUUGAAAAGGGCGUUAAGUUGCAUAUAAUGGGCCCGAAACCGGGUGACCUACCCAUGGUCAGGUUGAAGUGGAAGUAAAAUUCCAUGGAGGACCGAACCGACCUCCGUUGAAAAGGCGGCGGAUGAACUGUGGGUAGCGGAGAAAUUCCAAUCGAACCCGGAGAUAGCUGGUUCUCCCCGAAAUAGUUUUAGGACUAGCCUCAAGUUAGAUACCUGGAGGUAAAGCACUGAAUAGCCUAGCGGCCGAGAGGUUAGCGAAGCUUAUCAAACUCAGAAUGCCAGAGUAUUGAUGCUUGGGAGUCAGACAGUGUCAGAUAAAUGUCAUUGUCAAAAGGGAAACAGCCCAGAUCUACAGCUAAGGUCCCAAAGUCAGGUUAAGUGGAAAACGAUGUGAAGAUACGCAGACAACCAGGAUGUUGGCUCAGAAGCAGCCACUCAUUCAAAGAGUGCGUAAUAGCUCACUGGUCGAGCGUCUUUGCGCGGAGAAUUUAACGGGGCUAAACCUGACACCGAAGCUUAGGCAAUCCAGUAAUGGAUUGGGUAGGGGAGCGUUGUAUACGCGGAGAAACAGUAGCGUAAGCGGCUGUGGAGUGUAUAGAAGUGAGAAUGCCGGAAUGAGUAGCGCGAAUGCAGUGAGAAUCUGCAUGGCCGAAAGCCUCAGGUUUUUGGAGGAAGGUUCGUCCGCUCCAAGUUAGUCGGGAGCUAAGGUGAGGCCGGAAGGCGUAGCCGAUGCACAGACGGUAGAGAUUCCGUCACCACCAAAAGAGUUAAGCACAGGGACACAUUUGAAGUCUCAGAGCCGGGUGUUGGUUCCGGUAGAGAUCGAGGGAAGUUAGUACCGAAGUCUGGGAUGGAAGAUGGCGAGAAAAGCUGUGUGUAUUUCUGAGGUGCCCGUACCGCAAACCGACACAGGUAGGUAGGAAGAAGAUUCUAAGGCCAACGGGAGAAGGGUUGUUAAGGAACUCGGCAAAUUGACCCCGUAACUUCGGGAGAAGGGGUGCUCCAGAGAUGGAGCCGCAGAGAAUCGGCCCAAGCAACUGUUUACCAAAAACACAGGUUUGUGCUAAAUCGAAAGAUGACGUAUACGAGCUGACGCCUGCCCGGUGCUGGAAGGUUAAGAGGAGAUGUGCAAGCAUUGAAUCGAAGCCCCAGUGAACGGCGGCCGUAACUAUAACGGUCCUAAGGUAGCGAAAUUCCUUGUCAGGUAAGUUCUGACCCGCA